RNAcentral lists this long non-coding RNA (809 nucleotides) under Homo sapiens (human). Its description in RNAcentral is "HSALNT0368721". The record is from RNAcentral. Lineage: Eukaryota; Metazoa; Chordata; Mammalia; Primates; Hominidae.
AUUUCAAAAGGCUCCACCUCCAAAAACCAUCACACUGGCGGUGAGGAUUUCAACAUAUGCAUUGGGAGGGGAGGGAUGCACACAUUUAGUCCAUUGGCCCUUCUCACAAAAACUACAAUUUGCUUGAAUUAAUGCCAUACUCAAGGCCUAUGUCGCAAGGGAUCUGAGAAUACAGAGGAGGCAAGUCAACAAAAGAAGAGUCAGGGGAAGUAUCACAGAUGAAGAGGCAUCUGAGCUCAGUGUUAUGGAAUGAAGGAAAUCAACACUCAGAGAAAAGGGGAAAGCAUGAAUGCAGUCCCCCACUACCACAAAUCAUGCAGUCGAGUUUCGCACUUUUGGGGAAAUCACAGGGGUCAGCACACCCAGAGUGCAAUGGAUAAACCUCGCCCUGGGAAAACCACCUUCGUGAUCAUGUUAUCUCCCCUGCCAGGUGCUCGCCCUGCUACCCCAGAUGAUCCACCGAGUGGAGUCACCUGGUUCUAACUACCAUGCAUAUGUUGGGGAACCAUCCUCUGUGUCUGCAGCCCAGACUCCUAAUGAGCUCUUGGACCCACGUUCGUGAGCAGGAUACAUGAUGGUCCACAGGCACUUCAGAACUUCAGCAAGCCACAGAACUCAUCAGUUACUCCCCUCCACCCUCGAAUGGUGUCCCCUUGUAACUCCAAUCUCAGUGAUCUAACAUAAGAAGGCACAAAGUUGCCCUAGUUAAGAAAACUGGGAGUCAUCUGUGAUGGCUUUGUGGUGUCAUUUUGGCCAGGCUAAACAAUAUCCCCAUAAUUCCCUUUCUAGUAUGUUUCUGAUUAGGGUGG